GGAGAAGCAAAAUGAUGAGCAAAAUAGGCUGGAUCCCCAAAGAGGCAUGUGAACGUGUGUGUGUGUGUGUGUGUCCGUCCGUGUCAGUGUGUUUAUUGUGUGGAUGUGUGUGGAUGUGUGACCGGCUGUAGGGAACUAGCUAAGUGCCUUCUGUUGGGCCGUGACAGCAAAACUGAUAAGAUCUGAUUGCUUC
Molecule: small nucleolar RNA, 193 nt
Organism: Ochotona princeps (American pika)
Lineage: Eukaryota; Metazoa; Chordata; Mammalia; Lagomorpha; Ochotonidae
Product: small nucleolar RNA ZL1
Exons: 1
Source: RefSeq, a predicted model, not a curated record